AUUGAACGCUGGCGGCAGGCCUAACACAUGCAAGUCGAGCGAGCGGCGGACGGGCGAGUAAGUUCUGGCUAAGUGCUUGCUGGGGCGGGGUAACUACCGGAAAGGGUAGCUAAUAACGCCCACCAUCGGAUGUGCCCAUAUGGGAUUAGCUAGUAGGUGGGGUAACGGCUCACCAAGGCGACGAUCCCUAGCUGGUCUGAGAGGAUGACCAGCCACACUGGAACUGAGACACGGUCCAGACUCCUACGGGAGGCAGCAGUGGGGAAUAUUGCACAAUGGGGGCAACCCUGAUGCAGCCAUGCCGCGUGUGUGAAGAAGGCCUUCGGGUUGUAAAGCACUUUCAGCGGGGAGGCGUUACCCGCAGAAGAAGCACCGGCUAACUCCGUGCCAGCAGCCGCGGUAAUUC
RNAcentral lists this ribosomal RNA (406 nucleotides) under uncultured bacterium. RNAcentral's name for it is "partial 16S ribosomal RNA". It matches the Rfam family "Bacterial small subunit ribosomal RNA", at positions 30 to 526 of the family's 1533-position model. The record is from RNAcentral.